RNAcentral lists this ribosomal RNA (433 nucleotides) under uncultured bacterium. RNAcentral's name for it is "partial 16S ribosomal RNA". It matches the Rfam family "Bacterial small subunit ribosomal RNA", at positions 29 to 507 of the family's 1533-position model. The record is from RNAcentral.
AACGAACGCUGGCGGCAUGCCUAACACAUGCAAGUCGAACGAGACCUUCGGGUUUAGUGGCGCCCGGGUUCGUAAAGCGUGGGAUACUGCCCUUAUGUUCGGAAUAACUCCCCGAAAUGGGUGCUAAUACCGGAUACUGUUUCCGGACAAAAGGUUCAUCGGCUUUGGAUGGGCCGGCGUUGGUUUAGCUAGUUGGUAGGGUAAAAGCCUACUAAGGCGACGAUCCAUAGCUGGUCUGAGAGGAUGAUCAGCCACACUGGGACUGAGACACGGCCCAGACUCCUACGGGAGGCAGCAGUGGGGAAUAUUGGACAAUGGGCGAAAGCCUGAUCCAGCAAUGCCGCGUGAGUGAUGAAGGCCUUAGGGUUGUAAAGCGCUUUUACCCGGGAUGAUAAUGACAGUACCGGGAGAAUAAGCUCCGGCUAACUCCGUG